UUGAGAUGCAACAGAAGAUAGCUCUCAAAAACCAUCCAAAAUAACAAAGCAGUCAUUGCUGCUUCUCUGCUAAAAUCUUGCUCAUCCAAAUCACUCUCUCUUCAACCGUGCCAUCCGAGCCUUUUCUAAGACUUUCGUUGCUUCGUGUUCAAUCAAUAAAAGUUCACGUUCGAACGUUUUGCCAACCCGUGUUUGCUUAACUCGCGUUACGUGCCACUCUAAAUGAUCUUUGUCAUGGAAUUGAGGUCCACGGACCCUUUGUGAAAAUGGGUGUGUUCCGGUUAUGAAUGCUUUGAUUGAUAUGUAUGGUAAAUGUGGUGCAUUAAAGACGACACAUGGAGUGUUUGAUGAAAUGGGUGAAAGAGAUUUGCUUGGCUCGCGGGGAGGAUUUGGACCAUAUGGUGAAUGCCUGCGAUUUGAUUGAUGAGAUUCCGGUAGGGAAUGUGGAAAAUGUUGGUUUAUGUAGAUAUAAAGGUACACAGCGCGUGCUAUUUUUUAUAGGAUGCUGGAGAAAAAUGCUGUUUUUUUGACUACUGAGUUGGUGGUGUGAGCACUGUGAGGAGGACAAAAGGGUUUGGCAAGAAAUGAAGGAGAGAAGUGUGAUUAAGCUUCAUGGGUGCAGUUGGGUUGAGAUUAAUUGCAAAGAUCAUGGAAUUGAAAUCAAGAACUGAACCUUGAGGGACUUAUAGCAAAACUUUGAGGACUAUAGUAAGUGUGCCACAAGUCAUCAUUGCUGUGUGAAAAGAAAACUCUUGCUGUUUAAAAUUCAUGGAGUGGUAUUAGUUUGGUUAUCAGUGAUCAAUUUUGUUAACUCAGGAACCAGGAAAGAUACCAAGGUACACUAAUGCUAAUAUUGUUGUGAGCCUAAGGAUUACAUGUUGCUCAUAUGGAGGUAAUAAUGACCCAGCUUCCUCAUCUUGUACUAUUUGUUGGAUGUAGUUAUUUGGCUCAAGCACUGGGAUAUCCUUAUGUAGGAUGUAGCUAUGCUUACUGGGGAUGUUUGUUAAUGAUUGUUUGCUUUAAAAUAUUGGUCAACACCAUCUCAGUUUAAGAGAGUUUGUAUAGUGUUGGUACCUUGAUUUCAGAGAACUUGAAAGCCCUGGUCAUAGUUAUCUAGAAGAUGAAAUUUAUAAAAGGGUUCCUUUGUCUCAUGUUUAUAGGCUCUAAAGUCUAAGAGUCUAAGUGAACAUUCUGUUUUAAGCAAUAUUAAAAGACACAAAUAAGGUCUUUCACUAGAAAAUUUAUCCUCAAGUGCUGGGACUCAGAAAGUUUGUCUUAGAGAUUUAUGUUAUUUUACUAAAGAAUAAUGAUGCCUCUCUGGGAUGUUCUAGAAAGAUUUAGCAACAUGAAUUUGGUAGGGGUAGAUGUAAUUGAUUGAGAAGUAGAAAAAUGAAUGUUAGGAUGGUCUUCAAUGAAAACUGAAUUUUGCAGUUUUGUAUCUGAUAACUGAAAAGGUCCAUUACCCACUGUU
Quercus lobata is the source of this 1471-nucleotide long non-coding RNA. RefSeq lists it as uncharacterized. Lineage: Eukaryota; Viridiplantae; Streptophyta; Magnoliopsida; Fagales; Fagaceae. The record is from RefSeq and is a predicted model, not a curated record. The transcript is spliced from 2 exons.